GAUGAACGCUGGCGGCGUGCCUAAUACAUGCAAGUCGAGCGAACAGAUGAGGAGCUUGCUCCUCUGACGUUAGCGGCGGACGGGUGAGUAACACGUGGAUAACCUACCUAUAAGACGGGGAUAACUUCGGGAAUCCGGAUCUUAUACCGGAUAAUAUAUUGAACCGCAUGGUGCAAUAGUGAAAGACGGUUUUGCUGUCACUUAUAGCUGGAUCCGCGCCGCAUGAGCUAGUUGGUAAGGUAACGGCUUACCAAGGCAACGAUGCGUAGCCGACCUGAGAGGGUGAUCGGCCACACUGGAACUGGGACGCGGUCCAGACUCCUACGGGAGGCAGCAGUAGGGAAUCUUCCGCAAUGGGCGAGAGCCUGACGGAGCAACGCCGCGUGAGUGAUGAAGGUCUUCGGAUCGUAAAACUCUGUUAUUAGGGAAGAACAAAUGUGUAAGUAACUAUGCACGUCUUGACGGUACCUAAUCAGAAAGCCACGGCUAACUACGUG
This 497-nucleotide ribosomal RNA is filed under the name uncultured bacterium. RNAcentral's name for it is "partial 16S ribosomal RNA". It matches the Rfam family "Bacterial small subunit ribosomal RNA", at positions 28 to 507 of the family's 1533-position model. The record is from RNAcentral.